RNAcentral lists this ribosomal RNA (497 nucleotides) under uncultured bacterium. Its description in RNAcentral is "partial 16S ribosomal RNA". It matches the Rfam family "Bacterial small subunit ribosomal RNA", at positions 28 to 507 of the family's 1533-position model. The record is from RNAcentral.
GAUGAACGCUGGCGGCGCGCCUAAUACAUGCAAGUCGAGCGAACAGACGAGGAGCUUGCUCCUCUGACGUUAGCGGCGGACGGGUGAGUAACACGUGGAUAACCUACCUAUAAGACUGGGAUAACUUCGGGAAACCGGAGCUAAUACCGGAUAAUAUAUUGAACCGCAUGGUUCAAUAGUGAAAGACGGUUUUGCUGUCACUUAUAGAUGGAUCCGCGCCGCAUUAGCUAGUUGGUAGGGUAACGGCUUACCAAGGCAACGAUGCGUAGCCGACCUGAGAGGGUGAUCGGCCACACUGGAACUGAGACACGGUCCAGACUCCUACGGGGGGCAGCAGUAGGGAAUCUUCCGCAAUGGGCGAAAGCCUGACGGAGCAACGCCGCGUGAGUGAUGAAGGUCUUCGGAUCGUAAAACUCUGUUAUUAGGGAAGAACAAAUGUGUAAGUAACUAUGCACGUCUUGACGGUACCUAAUCAGAAAGCCACGGCUAACUACGUG